This 1531-nucleotide long non-coding RNA is filed under the name Homo sapiens (human). RNAcentral describes it as "HSALNT0118152". Lineage: Eukaryota; Metazoa; Chordata; Mammalia; Primates; Hominidae. The record is from RNAcentral.
UUCCUUUUGUUUUUCAUGUCACAAGUUUAUGACCUUGAGCAGAAUGUGACUGGGAAUGAAGUUCUCAGUGGGUGUUUUUCCUUGUCUCUUGGCAAGGACCUUGGGAUUAACAUGUUACAUGCUGAGAUGCCAGUAUUUUUCAUUUUCAUAUAGUCCCCACAUUCACAUGAAUGACAUAUCUGUCCAGGAUUGAAGGGAAGGUUGCCUAUGUUGAGCUGCUGGGAGAUGGUGCUGCAUAUUCACCAAGCCUCUUCCUAAUGAGUGGACUCUUAAGGGUUAUUUUGAUCAGAGAUUUUUGUCCUGUUCGGGCUUUAGAACUUAACCUGCCUUCAAGACCUCACUCACUAUAAUCACAGCAAUUUCAACCACCCGAAUCUUUCCCACCAAUUGGUCUAGCUCUGAGUCCAGGUUUGCUUGUUUGUUUUGACAUGGAGUCUCGUUCUGUCACCCAGACUGGAGUCCAGUGGUGCGAUCUUGGCUCACUGCACCCUCGGCCUCCUGGGUUCAUGCACUUCUCCUGCUUCGGCCUCUCACCUCACCAAGUUUGUUUACGUUUACCAAGGGGCUGUAGUGCUGGCUGUAUUUUCUUUACUUUUUUUCUUUUUUCUUUUGAGACGGAGUUUCGCUCUGUCCCCCAGCCUGGAGUGCAGUGGCGCCAUCUCAGCUCACUGUAACCUCCACCUCACAGGUUCAAGCAAUCCUCCUGCCUCAGCCUCCCGAGUAGCUGGGAUUACAGUCACCCACCACCACGCCCGGCUAAUUUUUUUUUUUUUUUUUUUUUUUGUAUUUUCAGUAGAGACGUGGUUUCCUCAUGUUGGGCACGCUGGUCUCGAACUCCUGACCUCAGGUGAUCCGCCUGCCUUGGCCUCCCAAAGUGGUGGGAUUACAGGCGUGAGCCACCACGCCCGGUCAGCAUUUUCUUCUUUUAAACAUGUAGUAUGAAGUCUUUGCCUGUUUGGUGGACCGUGAGUCUGUUCAGUCCUGGCUUACACUGUUUUCCCCCAUGACUGGUUAGUUGGUGAGGAAGGAGCUACUCACUCGUUACUGGGAGUCCAGACACAGCCUGAAACCAGCCUGGAGGGUGAUUUCUCAGCCUAGCUAAUACAUCCGCGCAAGAGAGAUCUUUUUAAGUCACAAAACCCUCCCACGGUUCCGCAAAGCCCUCGGAUGGCCUCCAGCUCCCCAGCCUGGCACACAGCCUUAUUCCUUAGCAGGCCUCCGGACACUGUGACUUUGCGUUCUUGACUGUGAGGCACUGAAAUCUCCCGGCUGCCCGAUUUCCUGCCAGACGCGGAGUUCUCACCGCCAAGCCUUUGACUAAACUGUCGACUGGGUCCCACCCCACUUGCUUUCACUCACCAAGACUCUGCUCAAGUGUCACCUCCUCCGGGGACCCACCAUGACCCUCCCCGACCUCCUCACCCCAAGCCUGGCCGCCGUGUUGCCUUACCCGAUCCCCAAGUCUCGAGGGCGAGUCCAGUCGGGUUCCUGCAAGGCUGGCGCCCAAGCCCCUGCCCUGUGAGACCCACCC